CCUGCCUCCAGAGGCGGGGCAGGUGUGGCUGCUGAGUCUCCUGUGCGUCAGUAGGUGGCACAUGUGCUCACAUGUGCUCAGUGCUCUGACCUACGAACAGCUGAAGGAUUUGUAGCCUAUCGCU
This 124-nucleotide small nucleolar RNA is filed under the name Meriones unguiculatus (Mongolian gerbil). Its description in RNAcentral is "Small nucleolar RNA SNORA17 (ENSMUGG00000009960.1)". It matches the Rfam family "Small nucleolar RNA SNORA17". From Rfam's summary of the family: snoRNA ACA 17 belongs to the H/ACA family of snoRNAs and is predicted to guide pseudouridylation of the 28S rRNA at positions U4659 and U4598. The record is from RNAcentral. Lineage: Eukaryota; Metazoa; Chordata; Mammalia; Rodentia; Muridae.